UCUCCUCUGCCUAAUCGUCUCCAGGUAGCUUGUCUUUCUAUCUGCGGGCACCCCGGCGAUAAACCGGCUGAUGAAGCGAGUGGCCAGAUCUCCAAAGCUGCUGAUACUUCUGGCCUCAAGGUUAUUAAACCACGCCCGCGCUGGCCCCGAGAGUGUCGUUAGGAAUACCUUGCACAUCAAGGCAUCUGACAAAGUCUGCAGCUCCAUGAAAGUCUUGUAGUUCAAGACGUG
Molecule: long non-coding RNA, 231 nt
Filed under: Manihot esculenta (cassava)
Lineage: Eukaryota; Viridiplantae; Streptophyta; Magnoliopsida; Malpighiales; Euphorbiaceae
Description: long non-coding RNA (MESC_LNC009032)
Source: RNAcentral